This is a ribosomal RNA of Medicago truncatula (barrel medic), 101 nucleotides long. NCBI's taxonomy places the organism in Eukaryota, Viridiplantae, Streptophyta, Magnoliopsida, Fabales, Fabaceae. The record is from Rfam.
AGGUGCGAUAAUACCAACACUAAUGCACAGGAUCCCAUCAUGCUUGGGCGAGAGUAGUACUAGGAUGGGUGACGUCCUAGGAAGUCCUUGUAUUGCACAUC